GUUACAGGUGCCAAUAGUUUAGCAUGGCUACAGGUGCCAAUAGUUUAGCAUGGCUACAGGUGCCAAUAGUUUAGCAUGGUUACAGGUGCCAAUAGUUUAGCAUGGCUACAGGUGCCAAUAGUUUAGCAUGGCUACAGGUGCCAAUAGUUUAGCAUGGUUACAGAUGCCAAUAGUUAAGAAUGGUUACAGAUGCCAAUAGUUUAGCAUGGUUACAGAUGCCAAUAGUUUAGCAUGGUUACAGGUGCCAAUAGUUUAGCAUGGCUACAGAUGCCAAUAGUUUAGCAUGGUUAC
This is a long non-coding RNA of Haliotis rubra (blacklip abalone), 291 nucleotides long. RefSeq lists it as uncharacterized. NCBI's taxonomy places the organism in Eukaryota, Metazoa, Mollusca, Gastropoda, Lepetellida, Haliotidae. The transcript is spliced from 3 exons. The record is from RefSeq and is a predicted model, not a curated record.